GCUUAUCACCAUUCCAGAUUGAAUAUACCCGAUCUCGUCUGAUCUCGGAAGUCAAGCAAUCUCGGGCUUGGUUAGUACUUGGAUGGGUGACCGCUUGGGAAUA
Ciona savignyi (Pacific transparent sea squirt) is the source of this 103-nucleotide non-coding RNA. The record is from Rfam. Lineage: Eukaryota; Metazoa; Chordata; Ascidiacea; Phlebobranchia; Cionidae.